This 80-nucleotide transfer RNA is filed under the name Caballeronia arvi. RNAcentral describes it as "Burkholderia arvi tRNA-Gly". Lineage: Bacteria; Pseudomonadati; Pseudomonadota; Betaproteobacteria; Burkholderiales; Burkholderiaceae. The record is from RNAcentral.
CGAACGCAGUGCAUCGGCGAUUUCAACGUCCGCGCCUUCCGCGAGCGGCAGCAGCGGCGAGCGCACCGUCGCGUGCUCGA